GUAGGCGGAUCUUUAGAGAUAGAGGAGUGCCUUCGGGAACGCUGAGACAGGUGCUGCAUGGCUGUCGUCAGCUCGUGUUGUGAAAUGUUGGGUUAAGUCCCGCAACGAGCGCAACCCUUAUCCUUUGUUGCCAGCGCGUGAUGGCGGGAACUCAAAGGAGACUGCCGGUGAUAAACCGGAGGAAGGUGGGGAUGACGUCAAGUCAUCAUGGCCCUUACGAGUAGGGCUACACACGUGCUACAAUGGCAGAUACAAAGAGAAGCGACCUCGCGAGAGCAAGCGGAACUCAUAAAGUCUGUCGUAGUCCGGAUUGGAGUCUGCAACUCGACUCCAUGAAGUCGGAAUCGCUAGUAAUCGUAGAUCAGAAUGCUACGGUGAAUACGUUCCCGGGUCUGAAACCACACCGA
This 407-nucleotide ribosomal RNA is filed under the name Proteus penneri. Its description in RNAcentral is "bacterial SSU rRNA". It matches the Rfam family "Bacterial small subunit ribosomal RNA", at positions 987 to 1381 of the family's 1533-position model. The record is from RNAcentral. Lineage: Bacteria; Pseudomonadati; Pseudomonadota; Gammaproteobacteria; Enterobacterales; Morganellaceae.